This 386-nucleotide ribosomal RNA is filed under the name uncultured bacterium. RNAcentral describes it as "bacterial SSU rRNA". It matches the Rfam family "Bacterial small subunit ribosomal RNA", at positions 29 to 416 of the family's 1533-position model. The record is from RNAcentral.
AUUGAACGCUGGCGGCGUGCUUAACACAUGCAAGUCGUGCGGUAACAGGCGUAGCAAUACGUGCUGACGAGCGGCGAACGGGUGCGUAAUACAUGGGAAUCUGCCCUUUAGUGGGGAAUAACCCGGCGAAAGCCGGGCUAAUGCCGCAUAAGAUCUUCGGAUGAAAGCGGGGGAUCGUAAGACCUCGCGCUGAUGGAUGAGCCCAUGCCGGAUUAGCAGUUGGUGAGGUAACGGCUCACCAAGGCGACGAUCCGUAGCUGGUCUGAGAGGACGGCCAGCCACACUGGGACUGAGACACGGCCCAGACUCCUACGGGAGGCAGCAGUGGGGAAUAUUGGACAAUGGGGAAACCCUGAUCCAGCGACGCCGCGUGUGUGAAGAAGGCC